Molecule: non-coding RNA, 2923 nt
Organism: Plectropomus leopardus (leopard coralgrouper)
Lineage: Eukaryota; Metazoa; Chordata; Actinopteri; Perciformes; Serranidae
Source: RefSeq, a predicted model, not a curated record
CCUGGAGGAGGUGAAAGAAAGUGAAGUGGUGGAGAUGAUGCAGAGGUCCAGCGUGAACACUCCCUGGUCAGUGAUGUGGGGAAGAAACGCCCCAAAGCAGAUGCUGUUGCUGCCUUUUUCUCACACAGACAUAUCAGUGAAAAAGUUGUCACGACUUAAAAGAAGGUAGUCCAAGGAAGAGAUUCAGCACCUGCCGGCCACAUGAUCAGCAACUGUCCCAUGGGAAGAGCACUCUGCAGUGGAUCGGCUCAGUCUGUUGCCAUUCUAAAAGCAAUUGUCUCUACUCAAAUGUGAUGGGCUUAGCACCAACAUCUGUGUCCUUCAUUAUGGACAUAAUGAAAGGAAGUGCAAUGUGCUGCAAGUGCAAUGAGACAGUUGUACCCUGUGGAUGUAAAAUGAAUGUUAGCAGACGUGGUGCAUGACUCAGGUCGUCUGCAUUGCAGCCAAGUUCAGAUACAGUAGCCUGGUGUGACUGGUAUUUACUCUGAACAAUUACCCAGUCUGUGCAAGAUCUGGUGGCCGACUGCUGAAGGAACUGAAUUGAAACUUGCCACCUCAGUCAUAGUGUGAUGUCCUACGCUGUGUGACAUCUUGGAAGAACUGGCAAACAGCGCAAAAACAAUGUCCACAUUGGGUCUGUUGAAUACUGAAUCACUCACAGAACAACUUGUUUUAAGUGUUUGUCCUUUUAAGUUUUCACAAUGCAUUUUUGCAGGCUCAUCCUUGAGGUGUAAUUUAAAAUUGUGUCUUUUGAGGUCAUCCAAUACUGUAUGUCUGCUUUAGGGAUUCACACACUCUCAGGAGCACAGUUAGGAACUCUGGGUGCACUGGCAAGACACUGACACUGGACACAGGAUGUGAAACUUUAGGAUAUAGGAGAGAAAUAAUGUUUUCAAACUCUCCUAUGUAUCAGAAACAUUGUACCACAUGUGCUUCACUCUUUACUGUUAUGUAGAAAUUCUAAAAGUAUCUAGAGAGAGUUGUACGUCCUGUGAUGAUCCAUAUCACAUAAUUUUCAUUUUUCCACUCAAAAGUUAAUAGCAAUAGUUAUGUUCGCAGCUGUUGCCAGUAUGAGUCGUGUCAACGGCUGAAAUCUCAUGGAAGAGAGCCUCAGAAGAAGUGCUUCAGACAUUUGACUUUUUCAUCCUCCGUUUGUUGCAUUCGUGUUUGUUCUUUUAAUGUUAUAAAUGUGUGUUAGACGCAUAGAAAAGACUCGAUGCAUGAUAUUGGUUGUGGGUUUUUUUUAAAAAAGAUUAGCUUUUGUUGUCAGAGUACUGUUUUAUUGCACUUUCUUCUGUUUUACUUUGUUAUGAAUUUAGAAUUCAGUUAAUAAAAUGUAUAUUCUUGGCAGCAAUAAUAAACUGGAUUCAAGCAAUGAGGCAGUUCAGUAGCUGAAUGAGAUCAUGCACAUAAUUAGACAAUUACAGUCCAUCUGUUUGGUUUGUGUGGAUGGAUGGAAGUGAAGCGCCUCCUGUCAGUGACGCUUUCUAAAGAGAUAGUUCACUUAAGCUACUAUCUAUUUGUAAGCCUUGAAAGUACUGUACAUACUGUAGGUCUGCGAAGAGUACCUAUAGCCCAGCUAAUUAACUAAACGUUGAUUUUGGAUGCAGAGGAGCCAGUAUUUUCUCACAGCAUACAGCACCCGUCUACCAGAAUAACCAAACUGUGCAAAAUAAUCAUUACAGUGUGGUUGUUGCACGCACAUUUCAUACUCUGAACAAGCUUUAGUACAUCAUUUCAUUGCCUGGCUGUCAGUGUUUUGAACAUAACAUUCUCCAAGACAACCUUUCACCAAUGGCUCACUAGAUAUUAACUGUCCAUAACUCAAGAACAGGGAAGUUAAAAACGAAUUGUGUCAAAAACGUUGCAGGAAACUGAAGAGACUUCUUAUGCCAUGCAAGACUGUUUUUCAGAGCACCAGAGUUCAACGAGUAUUGAAUAAUGAUGGCUGAUGACCAAAUUCUUUCUUCCUUAUGGAUUAAAGCUGCCUGUAAGCAAUAUAUUGUGGUGACAUUUUACAAUGUUUGGAUUGGAUUGUUAAUGCAGUUAUAUGAAUGGGUGUGUCUAUUUUUGGCAGGAUAAAUGUUCAUGGGAUCACUCGACACUAAAGCUCAGGAUGCUAAUAUUCAUUAAGUAUUAUAAAACAUGUAUGUAUGGAGUUUGAUUAAAAAAGAUCAUAGGAUCAGUAACAAAAAAGGGCUUGUUGUGGAUGAACAGUGAAUUGUGUGUAAUCAAACUGCAUCAUGCUGGAGGUGGAAAGCAUUAAAGGGAUAGUUCUGGGUUAUUUUUUUUUUAGUUUUUUUGUAGUGGGGUUGUAUGGUACCUAUCCAGAGUCCACGUAUUACAAACAGUAGAUGUCAGCUGACAUGUCACCAGUUUGGAGAAGUGGCAGGAGUAACUUCCAUGUUGCUUCUCCAUACUAUAGGUUUGCCACCUUACAUCUGCUGUACGCAACACACUGAUAACAGAUAAAUACCUCUGACAACUCCACUUCAAAAGAUACUGACUGUCCCCUUUAACACAUUGAUGUCAGUACAGUAAGUUGGGUAAUUCAAAUUAAUGUAUCCAUAUUCUAAAAAUCAUUUGCAAAUGAAACUGUUAGACAGGGGGGGUCCUAAUUUUGUAUGAAAACUGUUAAUAAAUCACUGGUGUUAGCUGCAGGUAUAAGACUGUGCCAUUUUUCCAGGCAUGAUACCACACUGUGCUGGUCAGGUUCUGAUCAACUCUGCUCACAGCAUCUUAGUUAAGAAACCCGUGAGACUUCUCAAAGACUGUGAGAGAUCAUCUGCAUACAGCCUUUACCCAGUGCUCGUGUCAUCCCUCCACAUCUGCUUCUUUGCAGACAUGCACAUGCUAUAAUAAGCUAUGGAUCGUAACAGAGUUUUAUUUUCCAAUGUGUAUUUAAUAAACUUUGAGCGAAUGA